UACAGAGGUCUCAAGCGUUGUUCGGAUUCAUUGGGCGUAAAGGGUGCGUAGGCGGGUCUUUAAGUCAGAGGGGAAAUCCUGGAGCUCAACUCCAGAACUGCCUUUGAUACUGAGGAUCUUGAGUUCGGGAGAGGUGAGUGGAACUGCGAGUGUAGAGGUGAAAUUCGUAGAUAUUCGCAAGAACACCAGUGGCGAAGGCGGCUCACUGGCCCGAUACUGACGCUGAGGCACGAAAGCGUGGGGAGCAAACAGG
RNAcentral lists this ribosomal RNA (253 nucleotides) under uncultured bacterium. RNAcentral describes it as "partial 16S ribosomal RNA". It matches the Rfam family "Bacterial small subunit ribosomal RNA", at positions 524 to 776 of the family's 1533-position model. The record is from RNAcentral.